UUAAAACAAUAGACAUUUAUUGUCUCACAGUUCUAGAGUCUAGAAGUCCAAAAUCAAGUGUCAGCAGAAUCGCGCUCCCUCCAAAACCUGUCAGGAAGAGCCCUUUUCUGCUUAAUCCUAGCUUACAGUGGUGGCUUCGAUCCUUAUGGUUCCUUGGUUCGCAGCUGCAUCUCUGAAUAACUGAUUGCUAAAGAAGUUAAGAUCCUCUCUUCUUCAUUUAAGCACGUAUUUUGCAGCCUCUUUAUGAAGUUCCUCUAGUGGGCAUUUUUCAAGAGUAUUCAGCAUGGAAGGCCACAAGCUCCCGGGCAAAUUUGAAAGAAGGUGAAAUGCUCCUGUGAGCCUCUCCCCACCUCUGCUGCGCUCCUUCCACACCUCUGCCCCUGGCUUCAGGAUGCUCAGGCGGCCCCUGGAGGUUCUGAUUCAUCUGGCUGGUGAAAGAUGCACCGGCGAGAAUUCUCAUAAGGCGAAUAGGCAUGCAUAGUUGAGGGGCACGUCUUCUCCAUCUCCUUGAGAACCUUACUAACACCAAUUCCCCAAGCCAACAGGAGAAUAGGGGCUUCUACCGUGGCUCGCCAGCAUCCAAAGAUGGUGCCUCUGAAAUUCAUCUCAUCUGAGAUGCUGACAGACUGAGUAAUAAAUACUACGGAUAUGGUGAAUUAUUAUCAAUUGAGUGUGUUGCAUCCUAAAGAUGCAAAACAAUAUGCUCUCAAAUAAAACUGGGAUCAUUUUCACUUCAGUCUAUCACAGGAGGCUUGUUGUUACCUUCCCACUUCCUUCUUUGAUCUCAGUGACCAGGUCGCUCUCCAACUCAAAAUCCUUCAAUGGCU
RNAcentral lists this long non-coding RNA (827 nucleotides) under Equus asinus (donkey). RNAcentral describes it as "lncRNA (ENSEASG00005037205.1)". Lineage: Eukaryota; Metazoa; Chordata; Mammalia; Perissodactyla; Equidae. The record is from RNAcentral.